This is a long non-coding RNA of Lingula anatina, 364 nucleotides long. Lineage: Eukaryota; Metazoa; Brachiopoda; Lingulata; Lingulida; Lingulidae. The record is from RefSeq and is a predicted model, not a curated record.
AACAUCCAUGGGAACAAUGAAGUCCUGCGCACUUCUUGUGCUCUUGGUGCUCUUUGCCACUUUUGCUAUAGAAGAUACAUCCGGGCAAUGUAGAACAAAUACGUACUUCUGCUGUGGUCACUUGUGUUGUGCCGAAAACAAUUAUUACAGGUGCCUUGGAGGCCCACCCAACUGCCACUGUCCGAUAAUUGAUUAGAUCACAUAAGAUGACCCUUCCAUCGAGGGUAAGCAUGACCAGUUGAAACUAAAGAAGAAAACAGAAAACUAGUCACUCAGCUCAAUGUAAUCUUAUAGUUGAUGUAAAACUGCUGUAUUUGGAUAUUUUUGUGAAUUUUGAGUUCAACAGUUAGUGGUCAUAAUAAAG